This is an RNA transcript of Eurytemora carolleeae, 4027 nucleotides long. It is a transcript of the gene named zinc finger and SCAN domain-containing protein 10, with no coding region annotated. The transcript is spliced from 7 exons. The record is from RefSeq and is a predicted model, not a curated record. NCBI's taxonomy places the organism in Eukaryota, Metazoa, Arthropoda, Copepoda, Calanoida, Temoridae.
CUGGUAGGUUUCUACUCCCCAGCCAGGUAGUAAACUCGCUUCCCGGCACACACAAAGCACGGUACAAAAACAGGGCGUCACUCCAAAUAGAACUAAACUCAAGCACCAUGUAACCUGCUACGCCCGCAAAGACUGAAGCUUUCGUUGGAUCUCUUUUGUACUUUUAUACCUUGUAUGUUUGUGUUCGUGUAAAUGUAUGAUGUCUGACGAAGUACCAACCCCUGUCCACCUAGUGGUCCCCUCCGCCUCCCUUAAAUCCGUUACUCCGGCCCCUACGGAGUCGGACGAGACGGACGAUCUCAUGCUCCGUUGGGAGGAUCAUCACAAAAGUUUUUUCGAGCUUGCCGAGGACCUGUGCCAUCAAGAACAGUUUAUAGAUGUAACCAUAUCAUGUGGAGAUCAAAAUUUUCCCGCACAUAAACUUAUUCUCUCCGUGUGCAGUCCGUAUUUUAAAAACCUGUUCCUACGAAACCCUUGUAAACAUCCGAUUGUUGUUCUCAAGGAUGUACAUUUCAAGUACAUGAAGCUUCUCCUAAUAUUUAUGUACCGAGGCGAGGUUGCAGUUCCCCAGGAAGAUCUCCAUGGUUUGCUCAGAGUUGCGCGAAGUCUCCAGGUGCGAGGAUUGGCUGAGAUGGGAUCUCCGAACCCGGCUCAGAUCUCGCCAAGGAAACGCUAUCUCUCCGAGAUGAUGGGAGACUCUGAUCUCGAUUCCAACGGAGAGUUUUGCAUCGACGAUGUAAAAUCCCGACUCCACGGACAGUUGGAGAUUCAGGCUGUGUCCGGAGCUAGUCCCAGCUCUCUACCCCGUACUCCUCCUCUAUCCUGGAGCAAAUAUUUGCCAGCUCCAUCCCACUUUGAUGAUCUGAACGCUGCUCCACGAUCCUCCAGAUCGGAGUCAGCUCCGUCCGAGGAUGAGCCACAUUCUCAGUUUCAAAGUUGUAAACGUGAGGUUCCUGAUUCCUGGACUAUGGCUGACAGCGGCUCCGAGGAUCAAAACCAUCAGGUUGAGAAUAGACGAGAAAGAGCAAGAUCUGGCGACGAUCUGCUGCAAGACUAUCACGCGAUGAUGAAACGAGACAGGACGGAACAGAAGUCUAAACUGGAAUACAACGCAAAGAAGCUGGAGUAUGAUGGUAAGAAGGUUGAGGUUGAGGAGAGAUCUAAACCUGGAUUAUCAAACUCAACCUUGUUAGACGCUGCUAGAGCAGCAGGCCUCGAACUACCAACUUCAAACACGGAUCCGAUGUCGUCAAUAUCCGCCCUACUCGCCGCAGCAAAGGCUACCGGAGGCCUGCCUCCGAGUUCCUCCACCCCUCCGACCUCCAGCACCACCUCCGGAGCUCAAUCCAACCCUGCAAAUCAGGGUCUUGAUCUCAGUAAUCCAGCAGCUGCAAUGGCAAAUGUCAACGCCCAGAUGCAGCUGUACUACUACAUGCAGAAGCUGCAGAGUGCCGGGAUGGGGAACCCGAAGGAGAGGAAGGAGUGCCCUAUCUGCGGGAAAACUUUGUACGACAGAUCAACAUGGAACAGGCAUAUGCGGAUUCACACUGGUGAGAAACCGUAUCCGUGUCGGUACUGCGGGCGCAGAUUCCGCACAAAUUAUAACAAACUUGGACACGAGAAGAAGUGCCCUGACCGGCACGCCAGGGCUCUCCUUCAGCCGGCGCAACCCGAAAGUACGACUGCAGUUCCUAAUGUUGUCUACAGAUAGUACUGCUCAAUCCACAACAUGAAUCUCGUAUCUUGAAACUUGCAGGUUUCAGGACUACGUCUCAGAAUCUCAGGAUGUUCCCCCAUAUCUCCUCUCUCUCUCAUAUACCAGUGAAUAGUUUAGUCUCAGAACACGGAGAAGUAUUUUUAUUGUAAUCUUGAAUCAAAAGCUAGAAACGGCUGCUCGGAAUAUGAUCUCUAACUUUUGGAAAAUUCCAUUGAAACCAAAUCAAAUCAUCAGAAGAUAUUGAUCUCUGUUCCUAUGUAUCUUUAGACCAGGAGAAAUCCGUUACGACCCUGAAAUCCCUGUUCUCCCUUUUCUUUUCGGAUAUCGUCUUGGUUCGAAUAUCUCAAAACGGAAGAACCGUCCUGAAACUAUUUAUCAAAACUGCUCCUUAACUCCAAUACAAGACAGUGAAGGUCUUUAUUAAAUGUUUGCUCAGUCAAUGUUCCCUUGCUGCUCAUAUCAGAUUCAUGACUCCUCGUGGUCGAAUUCUACUGCUGAAUGUUGCCCUUUCUCAUAAAAUUAUGCAGUUUAACUGAUGAAUAUUUGAUCUCUUGCAAAAUUUCAACCCGCGCUCAGAUUUGCAAUAACUUGUAAAAAUCAAAUUUAAUGUCCCGUAUAAAAACAGUGCCAAGCUGAUCUUCUAAAGAUCGGCCAUUCCGAGCUAUGCAUCUUUUAUACAUUUUUCAAAACCGUGUUGAUCUCAAUUUAUAAAGUUUCAAGCCAAAACAUAUCCUAUAAACUCAAACUUAGAAGAUUUGGUUCUGUGCACAUCCAAUGCGCACGAAACCUUCUUAGAAAAGUACAAGUUUUCAUGUACCGAACUGUACAAGUCUGGAUGUAUGAAUAUCUUUAACCGUACUAACUCCGGUAUCUGCUGAACUGCAGACGUAGUUGUGCGGUAAAGAACGGAAUGAUCGAUGGAAUGUUUAUAUUUUUAUAUAGAAUGUUUAGUUUUAAGGAAAUACUGAAAAGGAUUUUUUUCUUCAAAGAUAAAUGGAAUCUUUGGACUUAUUGAGCUUUGGGGUUAGGACUAUAGAACCAGACUACUGUAAGGCUAGAGCACCGCACUAGGAUUAGAUCACCGGACUACGGUAGGAUUACAGAACUGGACGACUGUAGGAUUACAGAACUGGACUACUGUAGGACAAGAGAACCGGACUACUGUAGGAAUAGAGAAUUAGAGUACGGUAGGACUAGAAAGCUGGACUAAUGUAUGACUGUAGGACUAGAGAUCUGGACGUAUGACUGUAUGACUAGAAAGCUGGACUAAUGUAGGACUGUAUGACUAGAGAACUGGACUAAUGUAUGACUGUAUGACUAGAAAGCUGGACUAAUGUAGGACUGUAGGACUAGAGAACUGGACUAAUGUAUGACUGUAUGACUAGAAAGCUGGACUAAUGUAGGACUGAAGGACUAGAGAACUGGACUACCUUAUGACUAGAAAAUUGGGAUAGUGUAUCACUCGAUUACGACUUACGGACUACUAUUAAGUAUUACUGUAGUUGAAAAGUUCUUAAAUCCUCAAGUAUUAGCAGCUUAAACCUUCCUUAUGUCAAAUAAGACUCAAAAUCUCGCUUUUAGGCAGCUAACCUUAAACCAGAUAUAUUUCAGUAUUGUCUAUUUUUGUUCAAUUCAGACAGAAUUUUUAAAACUAAUUUAUUUAUAAAAAUUAUUUAUAUAAAUUUGAACUAAGCCUGAACUUGCCCCUUAAGUAUUUAUCACGGGACACAUUGUAAAAUAACGUUCUUUUGUACUUAUUCAAACAGUUUUUCCUUUUGUGUACAGAAUUAUACCUGGAGAAGGUUUUGUAAACCUUCUCUUUGCUCCGAUACUGGUGAAACCUGUGUUCCUUAUUAUAUUUUAAACAUGAAAUACCAGGGCCAAGUUGCAUGUGAGAACAGUUGAGUGUGAUUUAAAAAAAUACAUUUAAAAAAUCUUUAAAAAUCCAAUAUGCAACUUGGCUAUGUAAAAUCUCUAUUUUUUCAUUUUUCUAAUCUCCAAUGGGGCCAAAAAUAACCCUCCGAAUCAUUUCGGAUUAACAAUUAAAGAAAAAAGACAAUUAUUUAUAUAUUCAACUCGAGCUUUUCAUGUAUUCUCUUGUUUGUGCAGGAUGUCUAUGCAAUUAUUGUAAAGUGAAACAUUUCUUUGCUUUUAGCGGUCUUUUCGACCUUUUUUUAUUUAUUGCAAUAAUCCCAAGUAUUUGUAUUUUGUAGUCUUCCUGGCUUUAUAAAGUUUUCUACUGUUUAUACCACCAUCUUAACUUUAUACCUAAUACUUUUUUAUCAAUAAUAAAAAGACAAAGAUGCCUGA